This 274-nucleotide ribosomal RNA is filed under the name uncultured bacterium. RNAcentral's name for it is "partial 16S ribosomal RNA". It matches the Rfam family "Bacterial small subunit ribosomal RNA", at positions 523 to 796 of the family's 1533-position model. The record is from RNAcentral.
AUACGGAGGGCGCGAGCGUUAUUCGGAAUUAUUGGGCGUAAAGCGCGUGUAGGCGGCUGGGUAAGUCGGAUGUGAAAGCCCGGGGCUCAACCUCGGAAUUGCAUUCGAAACUACCCAGCUAGAGUCUCGGAGAGGAGGGCGGAAUUCCCGGUGUAGAGGUGAAAUUCGUAGAUAUCGGGAGGAACACCAGUGGCGAAGGCGGCCCUCUGGACGAUGACUGACGCUGAGACGCGAAAGCGUGGGGAGCAAACAGGAUUAGAUACCCCGGUAGUCC